GGCCCUGUUCUUCUUGAAGCACCGUGAGAACCGAGGGAAAGGAAGGCUGUUGUUGGAUCGGGGCUUUGGCAGCAGGGGCAAAACCAGCCUUGCUCUGAUACUAAGUUGAUGCCGGACCAAAUUUAAAAUGGAAGCAGAAGAAGAAGAGAAGAGAAGGAGGAAGAAGAAGAGAAGAAGGAGAAGGAAGGAGGAGAAAGGAGAGGAAAACGUGGGGGAAAGAAAUUCUUAAUUCUUCAUUAACCCUAAUCA
RNAcentral lists this long non-coding RNA (249 nucleotides) under Phoenix dactylifera (date palm). RNAcentral's name for it is "long non-coding RNA (PDAC_LNC012359)". The record is from RNAcentral. Lineage: Eukaryota; Viridiplantae; Streptophyta; Magnoliopsida; Arecales; Arecaceae.